This 75-nucleotide transfer RNA is filed under the name Mycobacteroides abscessus. Its description in RNAcentral is "tRNA-Lys(ctt)". It matches the Rfam family "tRNA". Rfam says of the family: Transfer RNA (tRNA) molecules are approximately 80 nucleotides in length. Their secondary structure includes four short double-helical elements and three loops (D, anti-codon, and T loops). Lineage: Bacteria; Bacillati; Actinomycetota; Actinomycetes; Mycobacteriales; Mycobacteriaceae. RNAcentral also lists the same sequence under 3 other names. The record is from RNAcentral.
GCGCCUCUAGCUCAUCUGGCCAGAGCACCUGACUCUUAAUCAGGGGGUACGGGGUUCGAGACCCCGGGGGCGUAC